RNAcentral lists this ribosomal RNA (465 nucleotides) under Vreelandella stevensii. RNAcentral describes it as "partial 16S ribosomal RNA". It matches the Rfam family "Bacterial small subunit ribosomal RNA", at positions 338 to 795 of the family's 1533-position model. The record is from RNAcentral. Lineage: Bacteria; Pseudomonadati; Pseudomonadota; Gammaproteobacteria; Oceanospirillales; Halomonadaceae.
CCUACGGGAGGCAGCAGUGGGGAAUAUUGGACAAUGGGGGGAACCCUGAUCCAGCCAUGCCGCGUGUGUGAAGAAGGCCCUCGGGUUGUAAAGCACUUUCAGUGAGGAAGAACGCCUGGUGGUUAAUACCCAGCAGGAAAGACAUCACUCACAGAAGAAGCACCGGCUAACUCCGUGCCAGCAGCCGCGGUAAUACGGAGGGUGCGAGCGUUAAUCGGAAUUACUGGGCGUAAAGCGCGCGUAGGUGGCUUGAUAAGCCGGUUGUGAAAGCCCCGGGCUCAACCUGGGAACGGCAUCCGGAACUGUCAAGCUAGAGUGCAGGAGAGGAAGGUAGAAUUCCCGGUGUAGCGGUGAAAUGCGUAGAGAUCGGGAGGAAUAGCAGUGGCGAAGGCGGCCUUCUGGACUGACACUGACACUGAGGUGCGAAAGCGUGGGUAGCAAACAGGAUUAGAUACCCUGGUAGUC